UACGUAGGGUGCGAGCGUUGUCCGGAAUUAUUGGGCGUAAAGAGCUCGUAGGCGGUGUGUCGCGUCGGCCGUGAAAACCUGGGGCUUAACUCUGGGCGUGCGGUCGAUACGGGCAUCACUGGAGUUCGGCAGGGGAGACUGGAAUUCCUGGUGUAGCGGUGAAAUGCGCAGAUAUCAGGAGGAACACCGGUGGCGAAGGCGGAUCUCUGGGCCGUAACUGACGCUGAGGAGCGAAAGCAUGGGGAGCGAACAGG
RNAcentral lists this ribosomal RNA (254 nucleotides) under uncultured bacterium. RNAcentral describes it as "partial 16S ribosomal RNA". It matches the Rfam family "Bacterial small subunit ribosomal RNA", at positions 524 to 776 of the family's 1533-position model. The record is from RNAcentral.